RNAcentral lists this ribosomal RNA (997 nucleotides) under uncultured bacterium. RNAcentral's name for it is "bacterial SSU rRNA". It matches the Rfam family "Bacterial small subunit ribosomal RNA", at positions 356 to 1376 of the family's 1533-position model. The record is from RNAcentral.
GGGGAAUAUUGGGCAAUGGGCGCAAGCCUGACCCAGCAACGCCGCGUGAAGGAAGAAGGCUUUCGGGUUGUAAACUUCUUUUGUCAGGGACGAGUAGAAGACGGUACCUGACGAAUAAGCCACGGCUAACUACGUGCCAGCAGCCGCGGUAAUACGUAGGUGGCAAGCGUUGUCCGGAUUUACUGGGUGUAAAGGGCGUGUAGCCGGGAAGGCAAGUCAGAUGUGAAAUCCAUGGGCUCAACCCAUGAACUGCUUUCAAAACUGGUCGUCUUGAGUAGUGCAGAGGUAGGCGGAAUUCCCGGUGUAGCGGUGGAAUGCGUAGAUAUCGGGAGGAACACCAGUGGCGAAGGCGGCCUACUGGGCACCAACUGACGCUGAGGCUCGAAAGUGUGGGUAGCAAACAGGAUUAGAUACCCUGGUAGUCCACACCGUAAACGAUGAUUACUAGGUGUUGGGAGAUUGACCCUCUCAGUGCCGCAGUUAACACAAUAAGUAAUCCACCUGGGGAGUACGACCGCAAGGUUGAAACUCAAAGGAAUUGACGGGGGCCCGCACAAGCAGUGGAGUAUGUGGUUUAAUUCGACGCAACGCGAAGAACCUUACCAAGUCUUGACAUCCCUUGACGAUGCUGGAAACAGUAUUUCUCUUCGGAGCAAGGAGACAGGUGGUGCAUGGUUGUCGUCAGCUCGUGUCGUGAGAUGUUGGGUUAAGUCCCGCAACGAGCGCAACCCUUAUGGUCAGUUACUACGCAAGAGGACUCUGGCCAGACUGCCGUUGACAAAACGGAGGAAGGUGGGGAUGACGUCAAAUCAUCAUGCCCUUUAUGACUUGGGCUACACACGUACUACAAUGGCGUUAAACAAAGAGAAGCAAGACCGCGAGGUAGAGCAAAACUCAGAAACAACGUCCCAGUUCGGACUGCAGGCUGCAACUCGCCUGCACGAAGUCGGAAUUGCUAGUAAUCGCAGAUCAGAAUGCCACGGUGAAUACGUUCCCG